Molecule: ribosomal RNA, 253 nt
Filed under: uncultured bacterium
Lineage: Bacteria
Description: partial 16S ribosomal RNA
Rfam family: Bacterial small subunit ribosomal RNA
Source: RNAcentral
GACAGAGGUGCCGAGCGUUAGGCGGAAUCACUGGGCUUAAAGCGUGUGUAGGCGGGCCGUUAAGUGUCUUGUGAAAUCCCCCGGCUCAACCGGGGAAUUGCUGGGCAUACUGGCGGUCUUGAGCAAUCUAGGGGCAGAUGGAACAAGUGGCGGAGCGGUGAAAUGCGUAGAUAUCACUUGGAACGCCAAAGGUGAAGACAGUCUGCUGGGGAUUUGCUGACGCUGAGACACGAAAGCCAGGGGAGCGAACGGG